RNAcentral lists this transfer RNA (65 nucleotides) under Oligolophus tienmushanensis. RNAcentral's name for it is "tRNA-Arg". The record is from RNAcentral. Lineage: Eukaryota; Metazoa; Arthropoda; Arachnida; Opiliones; Phalangiidae.
UUAAUAAAAGUGAAAAAUCACAUUCAGUUUCGGCCUGAAAAAUUGAAAUUAAAUUUCUUAUUUUA